RNAcentral lists this ribosomal RNA (468 nucleotides) under uncultured bacterium. RNAcentral describes it as "partial 16S ribosomal RNA". It matches the Rfam family "Bacterial small subunit ribosomal RNA", at positions 28 to 507 of the family's 1533-position model. The record is from RNAcentral.
GACGAACGCUGGCGGCGUGCUUAACACAUGCAAGUCGAACGGAAAGGCCCUGCUUUUGUGGGGUGCUCGAGUGGCGAACGGGUGAGUAACACGUGAGUAACCUGCCCUUGACUUUGGGAUAACAUCAGGAAACUGGGGCUAAUACCGGAUAGGAGCUCCUGCUGCAUGGUGGGGGUUGGAAAGUUUCGGCGGUUGGGGAUGGACUCGCGGCUUAUCAGCUUGAUGGUGGGGUAGUGGCUUACCAAGGCUUUGACGGGUAGCCGGCCUGAGAGGGUGACCGGCCACAUUGGGACUGAGAUACGGCCCAGACUCCUACGGGAGGCAGCAGUGGGGAAUAUUGCACAAUGGGCGGAAGCCUGAUGCAGCAACGCCGCGUGCGGGAUGACGGCCUUCGGGUUGUAAACCGCUUUCGACUGUGACGAAGCGUGAGUGACGGUAAUGGGUAAAGAAGCACCGGCUAACUACGUG